This is a non-coding RNA of Podarcis lilfordi (Lilford's wall lizard), 108 nucleotides long. The record is from the annotation of a GenBank genome assembly. Lineage: Eukaryota; Metazoa; Chordata; Lepidosauria; Squamata; Lacertidae.
AAGGAAUCCUGGGAAUUGUAGUUUGUUAAGGAUACAGGGAAUUGUAGCUUUGUGAGGUCUCCUAACUACUCUCUGCACCAUUAACAAACCACAGUUCCCAGGAUUCUU